CCCCACUAUGCCUAGCCGUAAACAAAAACAGUACAAAUACAAUAUUGUUCGCCAGAGAACUACAAGCAAAAACUCAAAACUCCAAGGACUUGGCGGUGCUCCACAUCACCCUAGAGGAGCCUGUCCUAUAAUCGAUACCCCCCGAUCAACCUCACCAUUUUUUGAAAUUCAGCCUAUAUACCGCCGUCGCCAGCCUACCUUAUGAAAGAACCAAAGUAGGCAAAAUAGUCACCAACUAAAACGUCAGGUCAAGGUGUAGCAUAUGAAAUGGAAGAGAUGGGCUACACUCUCUGACCCAGAGAAAACAAACAGCACAAUGAAACAUCUGCUUAAAGGUGGAUUUAGUAGUAAGACAGGCAAGAGAGCCUCUCUAAAUAGCCCUGGAGCGCGCACACACC
RNAcentral lists this ribosomal RNA (398 nucleotides) under Emoia schmidti. RNAcentral describes it as "partial 12S ribosomal RNA". It matches the Rfam family "Bacterial small subunit ribosomal RNA", at positions 785 to 1391 of the family's 1533-position model. The record is from RNAcentral. Lineage: Eukaryota; Metazoa; Chordata; Lepidosauria; Squamata; Scincidae.